GUUUACGGCCAUGCCACCCUGAACAAGCCUAAUCCCGUCUGAUCUCGGAAGCUAAGCAGGGUCGGGCCUAGUUAGUACUUGGAUGAGAGACCACCAAGGAAAACCAGGUGCUGUAGGCG
RNAcentral lists this ribosomal RNA (119 nucleotides) under Pteropus alecto (black flying fox). The record is from RNAcentral. Lineage: Eukaryota; Metazoa; Chordata; Mammalia; Chiroptera; Pteropodidae.